CCUACGGGAGGCAGCAGUGAGGAAUAUUGGUCAAUGGGCGCAAGCCUGAACCAGCCAUGCCGCGUGCAGGAAGAAGGCCCUAUGGGUUGUAAACUGCUUUUAUUUGGGAAUAAACCCCUUUACGUGUAGAGGGCUGAAGGUACCAAAUGAAUAAGCACCGGCUAACUCCGUGCCAGCAGCCGCGGUAA
RNAcentral lists this ribosomal RNA (188 nucleotides) under uncultured Fluviicola sp. RNAcentral's name for it is "partial 16S ribosomal RNA". It matches the Rfam family "Bacterial small subunit ribosomal RNA", at positions 338 to 523 of the family's 1533-position model. The record is from RNAcentral. Lineage: Bacteria; Pseudomonadati; Bacteroidota; Flavobacteriia; Flavobacteriales; Crocinitomicaceae.